Molecule: unclassified non-coding RNA, 318 nt
Filed under: Hevea brasiliensis (rubber tree)
Lineage: Eukaryota; Viridiplantae; Streptophyta; Magnoliopsida; Malpighiales; Euphorbiaceae
Source: RNAcentral
GGAAAAUCCGGAUCACAGAAGCUACUAAGGCUCAUUUAGGUAAUGCCAAUUGAUAUACCAGAAAAUUACUACUCCAGGUUCAACACUUUCAAGGAAAAAUCAACAAGAAGAGAUGAAUGACCUACUCGUAGAAGUUGUUGCACAGAUCAAAUACAAACUUGGCUAAGGAAAUAGUCUCUACCGAAGCCAAUGAUAUCAAACGAUUAGUUUUCCCAGUCAAUUUUCAUAAUACUAGGCUGAAGAAAAGGAAGAGAGAGAGGGAAGGGAAGAAGACAAACAGCAAAAAACCAAACAGAAAACAAUAUAAUAAAUUCUCAA